CAAGCUCUUUGAAUCCGACCCAAUUUUGCCUGCAAGCUGUAAUGGCUAUGGCGAUUGGGCGAUAGGGCCAAACUGGAAACGGGUUGACCUCCCGUUCUCGAAGAUAUCGAGAACAUUUUUGGAAAGGAGAAAAAGAUGUUUAACA
RNAcentral lists this non-coding RNA (145 nucleotides) under Candidatus Zhuqueibacterota. Its description in RNAcentral is "Candidate division MoCo sequence". It matches the Rfam family "Molybdenum/Tungsten riboswitch aptamer (Moco RNA motif)". Lineage: Bacteria; Pseudomonadati. The record is from RNAcentral.